Molecule: transfer RNA, 72 nt
Filed under: Anaerolineaceae bacterium
Lineage: Bacteria; Bacillati; Chloroflexota; Anaerolineae; Anaerolineales; Anaerolineaceae
Description: tRNA-Lys
Rfam family: tRNA
About the family: Transfer RNA (tRNA) molecules are approximately 80 nucleotides in length. Their secondary structure includes four short double-helical elements and three loops (D, anti-codon, and T loops). Further hydrogen bonds mediate the characteristic L-shaped molecular structure. tRNAs have two regions of fundamental functional importance: the anti-codon, which is responsible for specific mRNA codon recognition, and the 3' end, to which the tRNAs corresponding amino acid is attached (by aminoacyl-tRNA synthetases). tRNAs cope with the degeneracy of the genetic code in two manners: having more than one tRNA (with a specific anti-codon) for a particular amino acid; and 'wobble' base-pairing, i.e. permitting non-standard base-pairing at the 3rd anti-codon position.
Source: RNAcentral
GGGCGCGUAGCUCAAUGGUAGAGCAGCGGCCUUUUAAGCCGUUGGUUCAGGGUUCGAUCCCCUGCGCGCUCA